This 305-nucleotide ribosomal RNA is filed under the name uncultured bacterium. Its description in RNAcentral is "bacterial SSU rRNA". It matches the Rfam family "Bacterial small subunit ribosomal RNA", at positions 337 to 634 of the family's 1533-position model. The record is from RNAcentral.
GCCUACGGGGGGCAGCAGUGGGGAAUAUUGCGCAAUGGGCGAAAGCCUGACGCAGCGACGCCGUGUGAGGGAUGAAGGUCUUCGGAUCGUAAACCUCUGUCAGCAGGGAAGAACGGUCACUGUGCUAAUCAGCAGUGAAUUGACGGUACCUGCAAAGGAAGCACCGGCUAACUCUGUGCCAGCAGCCGCGGUAAUACGGAGGGUGCGAGCGUUAAUCGGAAUUACUGGGCGUAAAGCGCUCGUAGGCGGUAUGUCAAGUCAAGGGUGAAAUCCCCGCGCUCAACGUGGGAACUGCCUUUGAAACU